RNAcentral lists this ribosomal RNA (484 nucleotides) under uncultured bacterium. RNAcentral describes it as "partial 16S ribosomal RNA". It matches the Rfam family "Bacterial small subunit ribosomal RNA", at positions 30 to 507 of the family's 1533-position model. The record is from RNAcentral.
AUUGAACGCUGGCGGCAGGCCUAACACAUGCAAGUCGAGCGGAUGAAGGGAGCUUGCUCCUGGUUUCAGCGGCGGACGGGUGAGUAAUGCCUAGGAAUCUGCCUGGUAGUGGGGGAUAACGUCCGGAAACGGGCGCUAAUACCGCAUACGUCCUGAGGGUGAAAGUGGGGGAUCUUCGGACCUCACGCUAUCAGAUGAGCCUAGGUCGGAUUAGCUAGUUGGUGGGGUAAAGGCCUACCAAGGCGACGAUCCGUAACUGGUCUGAGAGGAUGAUCAGUCACACUGGAACUGAGACACGGUCCAGACUACUACGGGAGGCAGCAGUGGGGAAUAUUGGACAAUGGGCGAAAGCCUGACCCAGCCAUGCCGCGUGUGUGAAGGAGGUCUUCGGAUUGUAAAGCACUUUAAGUUGGGAGAAAGGGCAGUAAGUUAAUACCUUGCUGUUUUGACGUUACCGACAGAAUAAGCACCGGCUAACUUCGUG